UACGUAGGCAGCGAGCGUUGUUCGGAAUUACUGGGCGUAAAGAGUGUGUAGGCGGUGCUCUAAGUUCGGUGUGAAAUCUCCCGGCUUAACUGGGAGGGUGCGCCGGAAACUGGAGUGCUCGAGCGUGGGAGAGGAAAGCGGAAUUCCUGGUGUAGCGGUGAAAUGCGUAGAUAUCAGGAGGAACACCUGCGGUGUAGGCGGCUUGCUGGACCAUGGCUGACGCUGAGACACGAAAGCGUGGGUAGCAAACAGG
This 253-nucleotide ribosomal RNA is filed under the name uncultured bacterium. RNAcentral's name for it is "partial 16S ribosomal RNA". It matches the Rfam family "Bacterial small subunit ribosomal RNA", at positions 524 to 776 of the family's 1533-position model. The record is from RNAcentral.